This 645-nucleotide ribosomal RNA is filed under the name uncultured bacterium. Its description in RNAcentral is "bacterial SSU rRNA". It matches the Rfam family "Bacterial small subunit ribosomal RNA", at positions 238 to 882 of the family's 1533-position model. The record is from RNAcentral.
GUAUUAGCUAGUUGGUGGGGGUAACGGCUCACCAAGGCGACGAUACAUAGGGGGACUGAGAGGUUAACCCCCCACACUGGUACUGAGACACGGACCAGACUCCUACGGGAGGCAGCAGUGAGGAAUAUUGGUCAAUGGACGCAAGUCUGAACCAGCCAUGCCGCGUGCAGGAUGACGGCUCUAUGAGUUGUAAACUGCUUUUGUACGAGGGUAAACGCAGAUACGUGUAUCUGUCUGAAAGUAUCGUACGAAUAAGGAUCGGCUAACUCCGUGCCAGCAGCCGCGGUAAUACGGAGGAUUCAAGCGUUAUCCGGAUUUAUUGGGUUUAAAGGGUGCGUAGGCGGUUUGAUAAGUUAGAGGUGAAAUUUCGGGGCUCAACCCUGAACGUGCCUCUAAUACUGUUGAGCUAGAGAGUAGUUGCGGUAGGCGGAAUGUAUGGUGUAGCGGUGAAAUGCUUAGAGAUCAUACAGAACACCGAUUGCGAAGGCAGCUUACCAAACUAUAUCUGACGUUGAGGCACGAAAGCGUGGGGAGCAAACAGGAUUAGAUACCCUGGUAGUCCACGCAGUAAACGAUGAUAACUCGUUGUCGGCGAUACACAGUCGGUGACUAAGCGAAAGCGAUAAGUUAUCCACCUGGGGAGUA